Molecule: non-coding RNA, 686 nt
Organism: Ictidomys tridecemlineatus (thirteen-lined ground squirrel)
Lineage: Eukaryota; Metazoa; Chordata; Mammalia; Rodentia; Sciuridae
Source: RefSeq, a predicted model, not a curated record
UGGCGGUCUGCAGAUGUGUAGAUAGGUGAUUCUGCUAAGGCGCUUCUGGAGUCUUGCAUGGACUGGAACUUCCGGCUUUGGGUCCUGCUCCCACACCAGGUGUCCUACUCCAACAAUGAGGUCCCGGAGCCCCACAUGGGGUCACAGAGCUAGUGAUUUCUGCAAAAAGAAGCUGGGUAGGGGACCUCUAACAAUAUCGGAGAUGUAGUAUCCUGACUAAGCGAGAUCUGCGGGUCUGGCUGCACACCACCACCCCACAAUCACAGUUUAAGGAGAUCCUUCUGGUGACAAUAUGGCAGCCUGAAGAUAGCUACAACUGGACCCAUGAGUCUCUUGGAGAAAACAGUAAGGAUAAAUGGUAGUGAGGAGGAGGAUUCUGAGGUCCAUAGUGUAAGUGGAAAGCAGAAAAUGCUGUUCAGCUCAGGCCUAAAGGAGUUAAGCCAGGAGCCUCGUUCACCAAUGAAGACCAUCAAUCAUUCAAUCCAUCCUUGUCCCCCAUUCACCGAGAGGAGCUGGAAACGCUAAAGUGAAGUUUGCUAUUGUUUAGGGAAGAGUCAGCACAUAAAUAUGGCCAUUCAAGAGGCAUGCCUUUGAAAAAAGAAAUUGUUUUGCAAUAAAGAGAAGUAAUUAUUAUCAGAGCAAGAACCAUGAAAUAGCAGAUUGGAAAUAAAAUAUGCUUUUAUUAA